UAGUUUUGAUUAAAGUUUUUAAAGUUUGUUUUUGCAAGUUUUCUUUAGGAUUUGUUGUUGUUCACUGUGUGAGUGAGUUAGAAACAUGGAAGAGGAAGAGAGUGUUUGGUGGUGUAUGUUCAAUUUGAGUAAGAGAGAGAUCGAUAUAGCCUAUAACUUUCUUGUUUUGUUUGAGUUUUUAUGUGUGGUGUUUGCAAGUGCAUAGAGUGGAGAAGGAGGUAUAUCCAUUUGUUCUUGUUUUAAAUUUAUUUUUGAUUUUUUAAAAUAAAAAUUGAUGCCAUAUGUCCUUUAUGGAUUGAUUGUUGUUGCUUUUCUAAAAGAAGUGAAAAAAUA
This 333-nucleotide long non-coding RNA is filed under the name Lathyrus oleraceus (garden pea). RNAcentral describes it as "Pisum sativum (pea) long non-coding RNA (PSAT_LNC029218)". Lineage: Eukaryota; Viridiplantae; Streptophyta; Magnoliopsida; Fabales; Fabaceae. The record is from RNAcentral.